RNAcentral lists this ribosomal RNA (489 nucleotides) under uncultured bacterium. Its description in RNAcentral is "partial 16S ribosomal RNA". It matches the Rfam family "Bacterial small subunit ribosomal RNA", at positions 29 to 507 of the family's 1533-position model. The record is from RNAcentral.
AUGCACGCUAGCUACAGGCUUAACCCAUGCAAGUCGCGGGGCAGCAUGGUCUUAGCUUGCUAAGGCCGAUGGCGACCGGCGCACGGGUGAGUAACACGUAUCCAACCUGCCGUCUACUCUUGGACAGCCUUCUGAAAGGAAGAUUAAUACAAGAUGGCAUCAUGAGUCCGCAUGUUCACAUGAUUAAAGGUAUUCCGGUAGACGAUGGGGAUGCGUUCCAUUAGAUAGUAGGCGGGGUAACGGCCCACCUAGUCUUCGAUGGAUAGGGGUUCUGAGAGGAAGGUCCCCCACAUUGGAACUGAGACACGGUCCAAACGCCUACGGGAGGCAGCAGUGAGGAAUAUUGGUCAAUGGGCGAGAGCCUGAACCAGCCAAGUAGCGUGAAGGAUGACUGCCCUAUGGGUUGUAAACUUCUUUUAGAAAGGAAUAAAGUCGGGUAUGGAUACCCGUUUGCAUGUACUUUAUGAAUAAGGAUCGGCUAACUCCGUG